This 500-nucleotide ribosomal RNA is filed under the name Bacillus subtilis. RNAcentral describes it as "bacterial SSU rRNA". It matches the Rfam family "Bacterial small subunit ribosomal RNA", at positions 390 to 881 of the family's 1533-position model. The record is from RNAcentral. Lineage: Bacteria; Bacillati; Bacillota; Bacilli; Caryophanales; Bacillaceae.
AGCACGCCGCGUGAGUGAUGAAGGUUUUCGGAUCGUAAAGCUCUGUUGUUAGGGAAGAACAAGUACCGUUCGAAUAGGGCGGUACCUUGACGGUACCUAACCAGAAAGCCACGGCUAACUACGUGCCAGCAGCCGCGGUAAUACGUAGGUGGCAAGCGUUGUCCGGAAUUAUUGGGCGUAAAGGGCUCGCAGGCGGUUUCUUAAGUCUGAUGUGAAAGCCCCCGGCUCAACCGGGGAGGGUCAUUGGAAACUGGGGAACUUGAGUGCAGAAGAGGAGAGUGGAAUUCCACGUGUAGCGGUGAAAUGCGUAGAGAUGUGGAGGAACACCAGUGGCGAAGGCGACUCUCUGGUCUGUAACUGACGCUGAGGAGCGAAAGCGUGGGGAGCGAACAGGAUUAGAUACCCUGGUAGUCCACGCCGUAAACGAUGAGUGCUAAGUGUUAGGGGGUUUCCGCCCCUUAGUGCUGCAGCUAACGCAUUAAGCACUCCGCCUGGGGAGA